RNAcentral lists this ribosomal RNA (219 nucleotides) under uncultured bacterium. RNAcentral's name for it is "partial 16S ribosomal RNA". It matches the Rfam family "Bacterial small subunit ribosomal RNA", at positions 1281 to 1500 of the family's 1533-position model. The record is from RNAcentral.
GACAGUCACAGUUCGGAUUGAAGGCUGAAAUUCGCCUUCAUGAAGCCGGAAUUGCUAGUAAUGGCAGGUCAGCAUACUGCCGUGAAUACGUUCCCGGGCCUUGUACACACCGCCCGUCACACCAUGAGAGUUGGGAAUACCCGAAGCCUGUGAGCUAACUUUUAGAGGCAGCAGUCGAAGGUAGAAUCAAUGAUUGGGGUGAAGUCGUAACAAGGUACC